UGGACUCCGUUGUACGCUUUUUGCCGCCUACUUCCGGGGUAUGCAGCCUCGCGUAGUUCCAAAAAGCCAUUCUAUGGCGUUGGACAUCAUUCACUUCCAUUGCUGACUGUCGAGUAACUUCUGAGGUUGUAUCUGCUGAACCUGGCGGUGUUAGCUAGUCAGCUGAGUACUGUGUAUCUGAUGCUAGUAGAAAUAAGGUUUGUUUAAUUACACCCUUGAAAGGGCUGUUGGAUUGCAUGUAAGAAUACAAAUUAUUUUACACAAAAAAUUAUCAUAAGCCAUAAUGAGCUUUAAAAUGUUUAUUACUCAGACAGUAGUGUGACUAAUUUGUUUCUGUUGCUGGUCCCGGUCAUUUGCAGGUUUUUGCGGCUGACCAUUGUCAUCCAUAUUUUCAUGCGAUCUUUGUCCUUGGGGAAGCCAUACAUGCGGUAACCCUUCUCGGACCGAUUGGUGCAUCCAAAUGCUGCACAGCCAACCAUGUGUCCAGGACACAGAUGAAGA
Alosa alosa (allis shad) is the source of this 501-nucleotide long non-coding RNA. RefSeq lists it as uncharacterized. Lineage: Eukaryota; Metazoa; Chordata; Actinopteri; Clupeiformes; Clupeidae. The transcript has 3 exons. The record is from RefSeq and is a predicted model, not a curated record.